AAGACCUUGCGCUUUUGGAGCGGCCGAMGCCUGAUUAGCUAGUUGGUGGGGUAAUGGCCUACCAAAGCUUCGAUCAGUAGCUGGUCUGAGAGGACGGCCAGCCACACUGGGACUGAGACACGGCCCAGACUCCUACGGGAGGCAGCAGUGGGGAAUUUUGGACAAUGGGCGCAAGCCUGAUCCAGCCAUGCCGCGUGAGUGAAGAAGGCCUUCGGGUUGUAAAGCUCUUUCAGCCGGGAAGAAAAGGUUGCGAUUAAUAAUCGCAAUUUAUGACGGUACCGGAAGAAGAAGCACCGGCUAACUACGUGCCAGCAGCCGCGGUAAUACGUAGGGUGCGAGCGUUAAUCGGAAUUACUGGGCGUAAAGGGUGCGCAGGCGGUUUUGUAAGUCAGAUGUGAAAUCCCCGGGCUUAACCUGGGAACU
Molecule: ribosomal RNA, 423 nt
Filed under: uncultured bacterium
Lineage: Bacteria
Description: bacterial SSU rRNA
Rfam family: Bacterial small subunit ribosomal RNA
Source: RNAcentral